UGAGGACCCCUCUUCACUGUAAAAUGGAGA
Molecule: non-coding RNA, 30 nt
Filed under: Mus musculus (house mouse)
Lineage: Eukaryota; Metazoa; Chordata; Mammalia; Rodentia; Muridae
Source: RNAcentral